UGGGGAAUAUUGGACAAUGGGCGAAAGCCUGAUCCAGCAAUGCCGCGUGCAGGAAGAAGGCCUUCGGGUUGUAAACUGCUUUUGUACGGAACGAAAAGGCUCUUUCUAAUAAAGAGGGCCCAUGACGGUACCGUAAGAAUAAGCACCGGCUAACUACGUGCCAGCAGCCGCGGUAAUACGUAGGGUGCGAGCGUUAAUCGGAAUUACUGGGCGUAAAGCGUGCGCAGGCGGUUCUAUAAGACAGAUGUGAAAUCCCCGGGCUCAACCUGGGAAUGGCAUUUGUGACUGUAGAGCUAGAGUACGGUAGAGGGGGAUGGAAUUCCGCGUGUAGCAGUGAAAUGCGUAGAUAUGCGGAGGAACACCGAUGGCGAAGGCAAUCCCCUGGACCUGUACUGACGCUCAUGCACGAAAGCGUGGGGAGCAAACAGGAUUAGAUACCCCCGUAGUCCCUGAGCGGGCUGGCAAGGCGCAU
This 472-nucleotide ribosomal RNA is filed under the name uncultured bacterium. RNAcentral describes it as "bacterial SSU rRNA". It matches the Rfam family "Bacterial small subunit ribosomal RNA", at positions 355 to 825 of the family's 1533-position model. The record is from RNAcentral.